AACCUUAUGGACCUGCGGGCGUAUACCUGCGGAAGGAUCAUUACUGAGUGAGGGCCUUCGGGCUCGACCUCCAACCCUUUGUGAACACAACUUGUUGCUUCGGGGGCGACCCUGCCGUUUCGACGGCGAGCGCCCCCGGAGGCCUUCAAACACUGCAUCUUUGCGUCGGAGUUUAAGUAAAUUAAACAAAACUUUUAACAACGGAUCU
Molecule: unclassified non-coding RNA, 208 nt
Filed under: soil metagenome
Description: partial contains 5.8S ribosomal RNA, internal transcribed spacer 2, and large subunit ribosomal RNA
Source: RNAcentral